AUACGAGCAGCGUCAGUGUCCACUAGUGUGCAUGCCUGAUUAAACAAGGACAGGAAGUAUCUAUACAUGGUGUUCUCUUUCUAUUUCCAUGUUGCAUCCAUCUUACUAUACAGUACACACACUCAGCUAUUCUAUCAUUAUAUUUGUGCGUUGCUUAUGUGUGAACCAAACAUUUCCAUGGCAACAAAUCGUUUGUCUCUUGUUUGAUGCACGGUUUUCAACGGAGUUGAAAGAAUUUUUUAAGAGAAACGUAAUGGACGGGUUGUUUUUAAAGUAAUAAACGGAAAUUCUCGUAUCCAUUGAGAAACGAUAGGCGAUUUGAAAGUGUCACUAUGAACGGUGAUUUAUCGAUGCAAGGUAGUAUGAAUAAGAUAUUUUAUAAUCUGCGAAAAAAGGAGGAGAGUCGUAUUUCGGAACGUCAUCGCAACAUAUUAUACCUUGUAUGUGAUUAUUUGGAACACAAUGGGUGAGUAUAUUAUAAUUAAAAUAUAUUCCUAGUUCCAAUUCUCUUGAAUAGUGUCAGUGACCAAUCGAAAUAGAAAUCAGUGGACAUCGUGGAAAGAGAAGGCGAAACCAAAUUUGAAAAUUCGACAUCGGUAAUUCAGUAGUUAAGAAUAACUCAAUCGAUAAUGUAGAUUAACUAGUUAUAAACAAAUAUAUGAAAUAUAAAUUCAAAUUAUUCUUAUCCAUCUAAAAAUUGGAAAUUAAAGAGCAGAAGACAAGAAAUUAUCUUCGAGGAUUUAUAUAGUAUAUAGACAUUAGCGAUGUAUUAUUCCGGGAAGCUCGUCUGUCUCCCGAACAUCGGGUCUGCGACAACAUCGAUUUGGAAAUUAUCGUUGCAGAGUAUGAAAAUUAUUACAAGAUGAAAUUUCAAAAAUAUCCCAUAUUGUGUAAGAAAAUAACUGGAAGGGAAAUGACGAGGGAAGUGACAAAUGCAAGCAAAACUGUUUGUAGAAGUAUUGAGACAAAAGCCAAAUCUUUUAGUAAACAAGCGAGAAGUGAGCCUGUGAAAGAGACGAAUCUACAGCAGAAGAUAACUGAUGACAAUACGAAUCAUAUUAAUCUCGCAAUGACAGUGACGUCAAUAUUCCCCAAUGAGAGUGAUGGACGUUCAUCAGAAGAGCUAUUUAACGUCCCAAUGGAACAAUCCAUGCAAUCGAAGAUAUUGAAAUGCAUUGAAAAGCUUUAUUCAGAUAAUACGGAAUUACGAAAGAU
Molecule: long non-coding RNA, 1215 nt
Organism: Bombus huntii
Lineage: Eukaryota; Metazoa; Arthropoda; Insecta; Hymenoptera; Apidae
Exons: 4
Source: RefSeq, a predicted model, not a curated record